UUGCUUCUUUGAAAACUUCCA
RNAcentral lists this non-coding RNA (21 nucleotides) under Caenorhabditis elegans. The record is from RNAcentral. Lineage: Eukaryota; Metazoa; Nematoda; Chromadorea; Rhabditida; Rhabditidae.